AUCACCAUCAUGACUUAUAAGCAACUCAUUAUACUUUGAUACCAGACUAUCUGAAUUUCUAAUUCAGUGAUGGAAGAUCUUUGGGUAAGUCAAGUACUUAUCAAAUCAGUGUGUGAGUCAAGAUGGGAUUGACUCCUCCAAAUAAGUAGAAAUUAAUACAUCAGAGUAUUUCAACUUAGUAAAACCUUAGCCAGGGUAAUCCAUGUGAUAGAUUUAAAGGGUUGAAAUAUAAUGUGAUUGACCAUGUC
RNAcentral lists this long non-coding RNA (248 nucleotides) under Elaeis guineensis (African oil palm). RNAcentral's name for it is "long non-coding RNA (EGUI_LNC042461)". The record is from RNAcentral. Lineage: Eukaryota; Viridiplantae; Streptophyta; Magnoliopsida; Arecales; Arecaceae.